AACGAACGCUGGCGGCAUGCCUAACACAUGCAAGUCGAACGAUUGCCUUCGGGUGAUAGUGGCGCACGGGUGCGUAACGCGUGGGAAUCUGCCCUUAGGUUCGGAAUAACAGCUGGAAACGGCUGCUAAUACCGGAUGAUAUCGCGAGAUCAAAGAUUUAUCGCCUGAGGAUGAGCCCGCGUUGGAUUAGGUAGUUGGUGGGGUAAAGGCCUACCAAGCCGACGAUCCAUAGCUGGUCUGAGAGGAUGAUCAGCCACACUGGGACUGAGACACGGCCCAGACUCCUACGGGAGGCAGCAGUGGGGAAUAUUGGAAAAUGGGCGCAAGCCUGAUCCAGCAAUGCCGCGUGAGUGAUGAAGGCCCUAGGGUUGUAAAGCUCUUUUACCCGGGAAGAUAAUGACGGUACCGGGAGAAUAAGCCCCGGCUAACUCCGUG
Molecule: ribosomal RNA, 435 nt
Filed under: uncultured bacterium
Lineage: Bacteria
Description: partial 16S ribosomal RNA
Rfam family: Bacterial small subunit ribosomal RNA
Source: RNAcentral